GGAGGAACAGUUCAACAGCACCUACCGCAUCGUCAGCGUCCUCCCGAUCCUGCACCAGGACUGGCUGAACGGCAAGCAGUUCAAGUGCAAGGUCAACAGCAAGGCCCUCCCAGCCCCCAUCGAGAGGACCAUCACAAAGGCCAAAGGGCCGAUCCGGGAGCCGCAUGUAUACGUCCUGAACCCACACCCAGAUGAGCUGGCCAAGAACGUGGUCAGCGUGACCUGCCUGGUCAAAGGCUUCUACCCGUCUGACAUCAACGUGGAGUGGGAGAGCAACGAGCAGCCAGAGCCCGAGGCCAAGUACCAAACGACCCCGGCCCAGCUGGAUGCCGACGGGUCCUUCUUCCUGUACAGCAAGCUCACCGUGGAGAAGAGCAGGUGGCAGCGAGGACAGGACUUCACGUGUACGGUGAUGCACGAGGCUCUGCACAAUCACUACACCCAGAAAUCCAGCUCCCACACUCCGGGUAAAUGAGCGACGCGCCCGGCACCCCAGCGAGGCCUCCCCCUUCCUGUGUACAUACCCCCCGGGCACCCGGCAUGAAAUAAAGCACCCAGCACUGCCCUGGGACCCCGCGA
Molecule: non-coding RNA, 579 nt
Organism: Pteropus alecto (black flying fox)
Lineage: Eukaryota; Metazoa; Chordata; Mammalia; Chiroptera; Pteropodidae
Source: the annotation of a RefSeq genome assembly